Molecule: long non-coding RNA, 854 nt
Organism: Ictalurus punctatus (channel catfish)
Lineage: Eukaryota; Metazoa; Chordata; Actinopteri; Siluriformes; Ictaluridae
Source: Ensembl
UGUGUUUCUCCCCCUGCUGUAUGACUCAGUGUACUGCACUUCCUCCUCCACACAGAAUCCUGUUUAUGGCCGAAUAAGAACUUUAGUGCAGCGCUUUUUAUAAACAUCAUUCACACCGCUGUUUAUUUAUUUAUUUAUUACUGACUGUGUGUUUAUUUCUUGUCUUUAUCAACCGCGGGGUUUUUAUUCCCUGUGUCAGGAGAUGAACCUGCAGCUGAUAUGUCCUGAUAAAUAAACACACCUAACAGGUAAAGUACAUAUUUAAUACACACACACACACACACACACACACAUAAACUCACACACAUACACAGACACACACUGUGUUAUUAUCUGGAGUGUGAUGUGGAGUUAUUAAAGCUGAAACCGCUGCUGGAGUUUAUUAUGGUUUCGGAUGACAAGAUUAGCCACAGGUGCUAGCUGUUUUUAGCAUUUAGCAUUUUAGCAAGAUGACUUUCAGUCGACGGAAACGGUAUUUUCUCCCACAUUAGCGUCACACAUUUGAUUAUUUUAGCAAACGCUCGGUUUUCGAGUUGCAGAAGAAAAGCGGAGAAUUUAUCCAGACUCGUUAAAUGCGUAAUUUCGGGAAAUGUAGGUAGCCUUCUCCACCCGUAUUCAGGCAAUCCCUCAAGCCCUGCAGGGAAUGGCUACUCGUUAACCCAAACAAUCCUCUGAUUGGUUAGUUUUACAUCCACGGUUAAAGCAGACGCGAUCCUAUUGGCUAAUCAUCUCUUAGGAGGCGGAGCCUGUCGGAACCGAGUUUAAUGGAAGACUUAAAAAAUACAGAAGAAGAUCAGAGUAAUCCAGUUUCUCACCAGGUGUGGCACAUUAUGGUUUAAUGCAGGCAGAACAAA